GUUGAAGUAGAUGGUUGCUGAUUCAUCAUUGAGGAAAAAAAAAUAAAGUUUGUGUGAAGUGUGAACCUGACCCAACAAAGAAGGAUUUUAAAGGGUCAAGCACUGGUGGAUAAAGUGCAAAUCCUCCACGAGAACAAAUGAAUUUCUAAGAAAAUCUGCUGUGGUUUCAAGUGAAGAAACCUUAUAUGCUAUCAAAAGCAAUACUGUUUUGCUUUUUCGAUAUCUUCCUCCUCAUCUGCCACAUUAGUACUGUUUUCCAAGCCAAGAAGCUCUUCUUAUUUGUUGUGGAAAGUCAAUCACUAUAUUAU
Molecule: unclassified non-coding RNA, 308 nt
Filed under: Hevea brasiliensis (rubber tree)
Lineage: Eukaryota; Viridiplantae; Streptophyta; Magnoliopsida; Malpighiales; Euphorbiaceae
Source: RNAcentral